UCUGUUUAAUUAAAAUAGGAGAUCAUGUCUGACCCAGAGUGAAGUCUUAGCUUUUAAAGAAAACCCAACAGACCCUAAUUCUUUUUCCAAGGAGUAUGGCAGCUUGGGGCUGUGAACUCUGGUCCGGAUCAUCCUGUCGUGCAUAUAUGAGCACCACCCAUAUGCAAUGCUCUUGGCGGCUAGAAGAGGGCAUCAGAUCCCUUGGCAUUGGAGUUAGCAGCCGACGCCUUUGAGUAAACCUCAACCUCAAAGAUUCAAUUCCCGAUUUUUGCCCAUGCGUCAGGAGUGUGGACCGGUCUGCUUUCAUACUCUUGGUCACCAUGGCAGGACUCUGCCAUAAGUCACUGAAUUAGCUGAGAAUCUCAAGAUUGCUUUGGGGUCCGAGCAGCAGUGAUUUCACGUGGGGACACCCGCUUUCCUGAAUGGAGCACUUUCCGUGGUCUUUAGGACUGGUGCGCUUCUCCAGUUUGGCUCCUGGGUUAAAGCUUGUCUCUUGCUUCUGUUUUUAAAAACGCUGACAGCUCACAGCUGUCUGUAAAGUCUGGUUCCAGGGAUUCAGACACCACGCAUGCCCACAACACAUCAAGACACAUAAAAUACAAGUAAAUCGAUCAUUUAAAAAUACUUAAAAAUGGCUGGGCUGGAGAGAUGGCUCAGCAGUUAAGAGCACUGACUGCUCUUCCAGAGGUCCUGAGUUCAAAUCCCACCAGCCACAUGGUGGCUCACAACCAUCAGUAAUGAGAUCCAGUGCCAUCUUCUGGUGUGUCUGAAGACAGCUACAGCAUACUUAUAUAUAAUAAAUAAAUAUUUAAAAAAUAAAAAUUUAAAAAUUAAAAAAAAGGGCUGGAGAGAUGGCUCAGCGGUUAAGAGCACUGACUGCUCUUCCAGAGGUCCUGAGCUCAAUUCCCAGCAACCACAUGGUGGCUCACAACCAUCUGUAAUGGGAUGCUCUUUUCUGAAGUGUCUGAAGAGAACUACAGUGUACUAAUAUAUAAAUAAAAUAAAUCUAAAAAAAAUGCACCCAAUACAUACAUACAAAAUAAAUAACAUACAUACACAAACACAAAAUUUAGUAAAUAAAAACUAAUUUAAAAAAAUUUAAAAAAAAUUAAAAAAUUGCUUUCUAGGGGGCUGGAGAGAUGGUGGUGGUUAAGAACACUUGUUGUUCUUGCAGAGGACCCAGGUUCAAUUCCCAGCGCCCACAUGGAGGCUCACAACCAUGCAUAACUCCAGUUCCAGGGCAUUUGAACCCUCUUGCGCCCUGGUCAUACCAGGCUCAGUAGGGAGGUUGAACUUGACCUUGGUUUGUAGGGACUGGGCCUUCGGUCUGUGGUUAAGGGUGUCAGGGCAGGGCUCCUGCAUUUGAACUAGUAGCUUUAAAAAAAGAUAGACUAGAUACACCAUGCCAACUCGAGAUGCUGCUCCCAGGAGAGCCAGAUGUCAGUUCCCAGCCCUGGCACUGAGAGUCAAAAUAUACCUCUUUUGGUUUACCUUUUUUUGAAAAAAAAAAUAUGUGGGGCUGGAGAGAUGGCUCAGGGGUUAAGAGCACUGACUGCUCUUCCAGAGGUCCUGAGUUCAAUUCCCAGCAACCACAUGGUGGCUCACAACCAUCUGUAAUGAGAUCUGAUGCCCUUUUCCGGUGUGUGUGAAGA
Rattus norvegicus (Norway rat) is the source of this 1652-nucleotide long non-coding RNA. RefSeq lists it as uncharacterized. The record is from RefSeq and is a predicted model, not a curated record. NCBI's taxonomy places the organism in Eukaryota, Metazoa, Chordata, Mammalia, Rodentia, Muridae.